RNAcentral lists this long non-coding RNA (36201 nucleotides) under Brachypodium distachyon (stiff brome). RNAcentral describes it as "long non-coding RNA (BDIS_LNC003694)". The record is from RNAcentral. Lineage: Eukaryota; Viridiplantae; Streptophyta; Magnoliopsida; Poales; Poaceae.
AUUUCCACUUGAAGUUUUUCCCUGCCAGUUUUUUUUUAAUACUGAUCGCCCAGCGUGAAAUGAAACACAAAUCCUUCGUUGAUCAGCCGAAUCGGCAUUCUGUCGGUGCGGGUGCUGUGUGCUUCUUUCUCUGUUUAUCUGACACACACAACUUGCAUUGUGCCGAGGGCAUAUCAACAUGCAUUUGCAUGCUGUGAAUAAUUCAAGUCUCCUAUGAUGCUUUUGUGCCUGAAAUGACUGUUACACUCAAUGAUGCAUCUAGCCUUGAAAGUACUAAUAAUGGACUAAGAUGCAUGAAUUAGAACCAGCUAUCCUUCAGGCACUUAUUCAGCCCCAAGACAGUUUUUGGUACUGUUCGAUGGCCCGUGCUCUAAUCCCUGGACCCUGGUCCAAUAUUCCGAUUCCCCAAAUGUGCUCUAAUACCUCAAAAGCAAAUUUCAGAGUCCUCAAUUGUGAUGUUGCGAUUUUGUAUGAUGCAUUAACAUUAAUGCGUAGUUGGCAGAUCACAACGGAUUGAAUUGUAAGAGUAAAUUUCACAGAAUCACAGGUUUUGAAGCAGUCUUCUCACGGAGCACUGGUAGAUGCUAAUUUGUCCACAGAACCACAACUUGUUUGUCUAAUUGUCUCAGUCUACCCAAAACACGUGUUUAAACUCCUUUGACACUAUUUCUUACAGGCGGGGCCCGCACGUCAGGCGUCUCAUCUUUUUCAUCAGACCCCUCGUCUUUUUCUUUUUUUCCUCAUUGCCCAGCCGCUCUGCCCGGCCGCCGCCCUACUGCCCGCCGCGUGCCCGCCGGCCUACCGGCCGCCUCGCCCCGCUGCCGCGCCUGCUGCCCACCCGCCCCGACCUCGCCCGCCACUUCCGACAACUCCACAAGCGCGAGCGCAACAAGAAGCUCUGGCGCCUCCGCAGCCUCAGAAGAGAUGGAACAGGACGAGGCUGACAAGGCGAGGAAAAAAAGAAAAAGACGAGGGGUCUCAUGAAAAAAUGUGACGCCUGACGUGCGGGCCUCACCUGUAAGAAAUAGUGUCAAACGAGUUUAAACCCGUGUUUUGGAUGGACUGAGACAAUUGGACACAAAAGUUGUGGUUCUGUGGACAGAUUAGCAUCUACCAGUGCUCCGUGAGAAGGCUGACUCAAAACCUGUGGUUCUGUGAAAUUUACUCGAAUUGUAACGGAGACUAAGUUUGUCUGAUUUGCUCGCAGAACAUCAGUUCAGUUGGUUGACAAUCGGGAUACCAUGGAGUGUACUACUGUUCAGUUGGAAACAGAUGAAGCUGUCUGCAGGAACUUUCAGAACAUGGAAUGUAUAGCUACAAAUGCAUGUAAUAUUCCGAACUCUAUGUACAGAACUGAAUUUCAGCAACUGAACAUACAUCUUCUCAGUUAGCUUACUAUAAUAGUCGACAUACAAAAAGGGAUAUAUUGAAUAUUCUUGAGCAUUUGAAUACACUGCACAUUUGCAAGAGGUUACAAGCAUCGGUCAUGGCAUCAUCUGAUCACCAUAUGGCCAUCUGCAAGAGAGCUGAUCAAAGUGAGCUCUUGAGACAGAAAAGAGAGGCGGCAUCAGGGAGACAUGGAGCUUGCUUUCAAUUCUGAACAGCGAGCGUGCACAAACGCACAGUCACCGAAACCGAUAAAAUCAUUCACAGGGAGGAGCUGGCUGAGAGAUAGCGCAAUCUUUGCUUCAAUGCUAAGGCUUUGUGUGUGACUUUAAUUUGGAUCACGGCCUUUAGCUGAUAGAGCACACAUUUAGCUAUUGAUCUUGCAAAAGCAGCCUUUCAUUUGCAGUCCAACUCCGAUGCGUCAUAUUCACGGGCGAACGUUAACCGAGGAGAAUCAAAAGUCGAUCAGGAGCAAAAGAAGGGAAAGUAAUGUGCUUUUUCAAAAGAUAUGAAAUUUGAUUGCAGUCGUUCGAAGAUAAGAACACCGGCCGGAUGAGGUGAUAAGCAGUCUACGGAUAUAUUUCGUGCCGUCUCCAUUGUACUCACUCAAUCCUCCAAAUUUUCUACGGAUAGUGCUAUUGCUUUCUUGUGCUCUUUCUACCCCUUUGCAAGUUCCGCUCAAAAUAAACUACUCCCUCUGAUCCAUAAUAAGUGUCGCUGAUUUAGUACAAAGCGACAGUUAUUUUGGAUCCGGUGGAUUACUUCUUAGUGAAUUAAUUGGGUGAAAAAAGGAGGAUUGGUGUUUGAGACUCAAGGGAGGUAUAUUAGAAGUUUUACUUUUUUUUUGCUAGAAUAUUACAAGUUUUACAACGAUUUGCCCACUGAUACCAUGCGGCGAAGGGCAUGCGUAAAGGUCGGUGCAGCUAUUGCCUCUUCACUGUUGUAUCAAGAAAACCCGAAGUUAAGUAGAAGCGUAUAACGCAUGUUCUUGAGGACUAACUCUGAAGCGUUUACAUUCAGAACUCGGUUACAUUGGUCGAUCGUCGAAAGAAACUAUAGUGUGAUCAUCGGAGAUGCUUGUUUAGUAGGGAGUGGAGAGAGAGAGUCACACACAUCGGAGUCUUUUUUUUUUGACAGAAAACAUCGGAGUCAACUGGGCGAAAAGAAGGGGGAAGACAAAAACAAAGGAGAAUGAAACUCUCCUAUUGCAUUUUUUUUACGACAAUGGAUGUUGCCUGUUGGUGGUAGAACGGGCUGAUAUGGGUUUACCCGAACUGAAGCCGGAAAAAGCCCACCGAGAAUAACAGGAUGGUACAGUUUUUGUUUCCCGGGACACGCUCGUGGGCCUUAGCCGGUCGGCCAUCUGCAGAAGGGCUGAUCUUCGUUUGCGCGAAAGAGAAGUGAACGGGCUCGCUCGCUCGCUGGUUGUGCCGGGCCGUGCGUGAGAUGGGCCUGCGUACCUGGGGUGCUUUUCCGUGCGGCUUACGAACGUACAACUCGGCCCACGCCGACGAGGCUUCCAUCUGGGCCUCUGGGGAGGGCGACGGGAAGGACGAUAACGGCGGGACACCGGCCACCAGACGACAGGACAAAAGGAGGAAUCGGACGGCGGAAAAGGGGCUGCCGUGGCGCCGAGUUCAUGCACCAAAUCGACCGACUCACCGCAAGACGCGGUUGCUUAUUAUCCGUGCCGCAUGAGGCACCGUUUGUUUGGUUGUUUUUUUAGAGUACCGGUACAAUGUCCGUGCGAAGUCACGGGGUCGAUCUCCUGAAAUCUGACACACCCCGAUCCCAAGUAAGUGAAACGGAAGCACGCGCGUGCGACGCAGAAUCCACAGGCCUUGAUCUCACUCAAAUUUGAGGGUAGACGGACUUGAAGACGCGGCGGAGGAGGCCGCAGGAGUCGUGCGUCCAGAGGUCCGCGUCGGCGGCGGCAUCCUCUCAGCUGCCGACGUGUUCCUCAUUGGCGGCGAUGGCCGUGGAAGGGUAGCCGAGGAGGAAGGACUGGUGGAUCUGCGCCUGGAGAAGCGCGAGCGUCAUUAGGGCCGACCGAGAGGAAAUCAGCGGCGGCGGGGUUGGGGGAGAAUUCAGCGACGGCGUCGGUUAGCCGAGGAGAAGCCGGAGGUGGCGCCGCGCCGCAGUGCGACCGUGCGAGGGGAUGAGGAGGAGUGGAGGCAGGGCAAAAUUGCAAGAAAACCCAGUUUUUGCAGAAAAUCCCAAUUCUGUCCGCAACCUGGGCUUCGAGUUGAUUCUCCAAAAACGGAAGGGGUAAAAUGCAAAUUGGCCGACGGACCGACGACGAAGGAAGCCUUACUGCUUUUAUUGUUUGGUUAGAUUAGAUUAGAUUAGAUUAUCCAAUCUAAAAUGAAAAACAUUAGAACCCGAAUAGAAAAGAUUUAGACAGGAUAAUCUCUAGUUUCCCUACAAAACAUUCCUUUUUUUAUCAAAUUAAAACAUUUCUCAAACAAAACUCUACUGUUUUGGGUUUUUAAAGAGUUUUGGAUAAAUCAAAACACUAGUGAUUAAAAAAAUACACUAACACCAAACAAAUUUGAUUAAAACAUUUGUGAUAUGGACAUUUUAAGGGUCCAGCUUAUGAAUUUUUUUGGUCUUUUUUGUGUUCCUAUUUGGUUGCAGAUGAGGGAUUUUGACUUAAACGAGUGUCCUGUCGAACUCAAUAUUGCUGUUGGGACUGAGGAAGGGUAUGGAACAACUUUAUUCCCAUUGUAUUGCACCCAAAAACUGCCUAACAAAGAUACCCAUCAGCAUGAUGGUGAUUGUGGUGAGUCCCAUAAUGCAAAUGCAAAUGCAGUGGACAAUUUGAUUCACGAAGGGCAUGUUGGGCAGUUUGAGUCUUCAUCAUUAAACCAGCAAUCGAUUGAUGCCCCUGGAGAAGUGCAUAUUGAAGAACAAUAUGAUGGUGAAGAAGCUUUGUCACAGCCCCAAGAGCCUUUCCUAGGAAUGAGAUUUGAUACUUUGUUGUGUGCUCGUAACCACUACAAUGCUUAUGCACUGAAGCUUGGGUUCUCAAUAAGAUCAAACACUUCUAGGAGAUCGUUCUACACAAAUGAAGUUGUGAAACAGCAGUUUGUUUGCAACAAGUUCAGAAAGCCUAAACCUGAAGGUAGCAAUACACAUAAGCCUAAAGUUGCUCCUGCUAUUUGCUCAGAAUCUGGAGGGGAUAGCGAUGAGGAAUCUGAACUUGAUGAACAUGCUUUUGCUAAAGGCAAGAAAGUAGUGAAAAAGAGAAGAAGAGAAACAAUUAAACAAACCAAUUGCAAAGCACGGAUGAUGGUGAAGCUAAUAGAUUCUAGGUGGGAAGUAACAUAUUUCAUUGGUGAGCACAAUCAUCCUUUGAUUGCAAAGCCAUCCCUCACGAAGUAUCUCCGUUCGCAUUAGGGUAUAUCCAAGGAGGAAGAAGAGUUUUUGUCAGUUCUACAUGAUUGCAACGUCGAGACAGGUGAUAACCAGCUUUUGCCCAUUGUGUUCCCUAAUAGUUGCCCCCCUUUUACUAGUUGUAUGUUAAACUUGCCAAAAUGUACGUUUAGGAAAAGCAAAAUUGAACAGGAAAAUUCCACUUAUUUUGGGAGGCAAAAUUUAGCAACAAGUUUACAAAAAAUCAAAAAAUUGAGCCCCAGCAGUGUAAAAAAGCAACUUACAGUGCUAUGCAAGGCUGCUUUUUUGUGAAAAGCAAUUCACAUUGGGUAUGCUGAAAAAACCUACCCAUCGACAAACAGAAAGGAUCAAAAUUUACUUCCGCAAUUCUUUUGUGUACAUGCACACUAAAAACUUGGAACAAACACCAAAAAAAGACACAGUUAGCUUCCAAGGCUGGAAAAAAAGCACAAGCAGAAAAGUUAGCCGCUGGACUGCAUAAAUGAGCUGAGAACGCGAUUUUAGAAUAACUUACAUGCAAAUUCCCAUAAACUCCAGGUCCUUUCAUAUCUUGUUGGAUCACUCUGUUUAUGGCUUGCGUCGUCUAUGCUUGGAUACGCACAGGGCAGUUGCUCAAGGGCUCGUCGGUGAUCAGCGAAUCGAGAUAAUAGAUCUGGAAAUUAGUUUAAGUUCAGUUAUGAGUUUAGAUUAAAAAAAAAGAAGGAAAAAUGCAGGAAAAAUGAAUCCUACUAAAUAAGGAAAGAGUUUUGAUAAAGCUUACGAAAAGGUGAUACACGCAGCACCGGACUGAGUUCUUUUCAUCACCCAACUUCUUAAAAGCUAUUUGUAGUUGAUCAACUACGAACUGACAGAAAUUUAAGUUGUCAACAACAUCCAAAUUUAUGAAGGACGGGUAGCACCGUGGGCUGUGUUUCAGGCCUAUAGUUGGGCAAAGAAAGCAGGACAUUGCGGUGAUCAGACAGGCCCUGAGAAACUUGUCAUCUGCUUCCUUCAUUUCGCCAAUCAUUUUGCACCAAGCUGUGAUAUCUGGUGAUGAACCUUUUUCGAAGCCAUACUCUUGGAUGAUGAAAUCUGUGGCUUCCUGGUUCAUCACAUAGUUGACUUUCCCGCCUUUGUUUGGCAAUUUAAACAAUUUGUACACACUGUCAGCCGUUAUUUCGAUGAUACCCCUCUCAGUAACAACCAAUUCUGAUAACUCCGAGUUGUAGCAGCUCAUCACAAACUUACAGAACUCUGCUGGCAUUGUGUGAGAAGGCAAAAAUAGUAAGCCACCAAAAUGCCUCUUCCUGAUCAAUGCCUUCUGAUCGGGUGUUAGAUCUUUGUUAAUUUUGUAGAGCCUAGCAGGAGAUGCCAUGUUCCUCCCGACCUAAAGUAUUUACCAAACAAAGCAGAAAUAAAAGGUUAGAUCAAGAAAAUAAGCAAGCUAAAUGAGAUUGUAAUAAUGUAGUUAGCAACUUUAAACAAACAUAAAAAGGUUGCCACCUAUUUUUUAGCAAACUACGUGAUUCUAUUACUUCUUUCUCUGUUCUCCUGGGGGGUACGCAUUUAGCAACCUGUGCAUCUACAAUCUCUUUGACAGCUUCAUUAGGGGCCUUGGCGACAUUCCCUCCUAUGGGAGCCUCAUCAAUAGUUGCCUCGCCAACAGUUGCCUCCGUGGGAGCCUCAGCGACAGAAGUCUCGCGAGAACACUGCAUGUAAAAAACAAGUUAAAUAAUUACUAUGGGUUCCUAAAAAAGCAAAAACAAAACAAAACAAAACAAAACACAAGAACAUAAAAAUGUACCUCUAGGGAUAGCAUAGCAACACCGCCUGCUAUGCCUCCCACGGGUUCUACUAUGGCUUUAGAAUUGCGUCUCCUGCGGCGAUGGAUUAAACCCCAGUUUCAUCGUCUUCAGGUCCUUCCUCGAUAAUGUUCAUUAUAGCUCCUGCAGAAAAAAGGGAUGCAUAAAUAUGCAGAAUUUUCUGUGGCUAGUUUACAGCACUAUAUAAACAACCCAACCCAAUGAGUGAAAAAAAUGGACAUACACAGUUACUGAUCAACCUGUAAAAAAUGGGAAAAUGUAGACAUAGCAUAGCUCAUUUAACAACUUCUAAUUCAGCACAGGUUUAUGCCCUGAACCUGGGAACUAAAAAUCACCCCCUAAAUGUGGACAAAUGUGUCAAAAGUUUGCCUAAAAAAAUGGGAACAGUAAUGAUUCUCCUAUAGAAAGCAACUCCUAAAACACAGUGUUGCAUCCUGAUAAAACACCUGGAACAAAAAUAUAAGUGCCCCCACUAAGAAUUGCCAUUAAAAAGCAACUCCUAAGAAUUUGCCUAACCAACAGUAAGGGGCAGGUAAAAAAAUGCAAAAUCCCCCUAAAACAAAAGGCAAAAAGAGACACAAAAAUCACUUAUGAUACUCCUAGAAGCAACUCCCUGAGAAAAAUUUGCCCAGUAGAAGCAACUACCUGAACAAAUUUACGAUACUCCUAUAAGCAACUCCCUAAGAAAAAAUUGCCCAGUAGAAGCAACUACCACAAAUUUACCCCAUAUACAUGCACAGUAGAAGCAACUUCCUGAUAAUUUGCUACGGACAAAAACAUGACAUAAGCAACUUAGAAUGCUCUGCUGAAUUAGAAGUUGCCAUAUGCAAUUUAGGGCCCAAAAAGACCCGUCAAAAAAGUGGUCAGCACUGAACUAGGUCCAAAAAUUCCAAUCCAAUUCCAACUGAUUUGGUUACGGUUGGAAUUGGCGCAGAUUAUGCAGAUUAAACAUCUCCCAGACGUCUACCCCCCAAUAUCCAUGGCACCCUAAUAUGAGCUAAUCGCUAGCCUGAAGCAUCUACUAGGGAUUCAUCUACUGUAGAUGGUGUGCGCGCAUGCUCGAGUUUGGGUAUGUUGAGGAGAGAUGUGCAAGGAGGGGGGCUAACCGUAGAUGUUGCGCGCGCGCUCGCUGCCGCAGUCGAUGCGUCCCGCCUCGUGUAGUCGUGCUAGCUGCGCCAGCGGUGGUCGAUGUGCCCGCCGGGGUCGCCCUCCUGGAGCCCUCAGCAACGCGCCCUACGGCAUGCAGGAGCCCCCGUGCACCCCCAUAAUAUUGCCGGUGAAAACUCGCUCCUCGCCGAAACCCUUGCCCCCGCCGCCUCUGGCAAAACUCGGCGCCGAUGUCACCUCCGACCGUCCCGGCACUGUCGACGGCCUUGUUGCUGUUCCGCUGCGCCUCGCCGACACGAAGCUCGCCGGAAUCGCCGAUGCAAAAUCGCGCGCGCGCGAGAGCGAGAGAGAGAGAGAGAGAGAGAGAGAGAGAGAGAGAGAGCGGUGGGGUUCGCGAGGGGGGAAUGGGGAACGGGAAAGCGGAAGAGACAACAGCGCGUCCCCCAAAGCUUUGAAAAAAAAGAGCUUAACAGGUUGACACGUGGGGCCCGCCCGACCGACGGGGGAGGCUGUCUUAACUGCAUCGCGCGGCGCGGAAGCGCCAGGGUGAAUCGGACGGCUUCCAACGUGCGCGCCCGUUCGAAGCGAAAAGGGCAUAAGCACUUUCGGAUAAAACAAAGAGUACACAAGGAACCUACCCAACUAGCAGUAACUUCAAAGUCCACAAAAUGUUUUGCCAUAAACGAUACUAUUUCCACUGGCAUUGACAGGACACAGGACCUUGGGAGUACAGGAUAUGAUUCACAGCAGUCAGCAUACUGCAUCGACCGACCGAUAUGUAUCUUCACAAUGAAUGCAUAUCACCCCACACUGUAAACAACCAACCCUGCUGGCAGGCAAGCCAGAGAAUUCACCUGCAGUCACCCCCCAGCGGUCGAGCUAGCGGACAGGAGUAGAUACACACCACGGAAACUCACAAAUCAAUCGCCAAAGCCACUGGAUCAGCAGGAAGCAGUAAUUAAUGGCAAAGCUUACAUGUCAAGUCAAUCAGAGCAGUGUGUGACUGUGUGGACCCUGGACCCAGCAACAAGACACAGAUACUAUCAUUAUGCAGCACGCGUUGUAUAUGUGUCUUUCACCGAGUUCGUGCCAAUUUGUCUAAUUGUCUGCCCCAUAAUCUGCGUGGCCCGGUAGUAUGUGUGUCUGCGGCUCUGCGUUGCCAUGCCUUGUGCUGUGCAGAGGAUUAAAUUGCAGCUUCAGGUGUAAAUAUGCCCGUCGCAGGGACAGCUCCGAAAUCCGAGGUGCGGACGAGCACCGUGGGCCAGCGACGACGACCACGCUCCAAAGUCUCAUCAUUUUUUCCGAACAAAGGGUAGAAAGUAACUUUAAAUAGCAACAUGCAUAUGUUAUUAGUUUAAAUUACUGUCUUCAUAAUGCCUUCAAACUUAUAUAUGGAGUCCUGCAUUGUGUCAUUAAUUAUGUUGUAAACUCAUCUUAUUUUUUUUUUACGAAACAGCCACAACGACCUAUUAUUUAUUGCCACCGAAGGUCGGAGAGAAUCCAACCGGAAGGUUACAUGUAGGAAAGAGAAACACCAGAGCUUGGAGGCAGGAACAGAGGAAAUAAAGGAAAAAGAUUAAAGCACAUCAUCGGGUCCUGAAACAAGAGCAACUAGACCUAUUAGCACUAGUUGCGCCUCAACAUCUUCAAAAAAGACAAUCUUCCGGGCAGCAGUAGAACCCUUGCAAUUGGAACAACGAUUCCCAUUCCGCGGCGACUUAUAACGAUCAUUUGCUGGCCCCUUUCCAUCAGCGCCUCUUUUAAGCAUUUCAACAAAAUAAUGCCGACCACGUGCUGCAGCUGCAUGAGGCAUCCGCUCAAAAAAGGAGCAUUUCAUACUAAACAUCAAAGUGUAACCAGGAACAACCGGGCAAAGAACGCCGGACUUCAAGAUCCUAACACGCAAAGGGAUGCAAUGUAUAUCAAAUGGGUGUCUCCUCACCAACCGCCUCGAGCUCCGCAGCUGUGAAAUCCAAAGCUGCAAGGUCGAUCUGAGCCUUUCCACGAAGGCCAGUCAGGACGCUCAACGCUUCGAUCACCUUCGGCGUGAGCGGCUUCUUGUACAUCUCCAAGUAGGUGGCCAUCUUAUUCUUUGCCUCAUGAUCUCCUUUCGCCUCCUUAUCACCCACCUCUGAAACCUCCCCAAAGGCUUCCAUCAACCUAUGCUCAGCGCGCUUGGCAAUAGGGAUGUUGCAUUUCUUGUUCUUCUGAACCAGGCGGCCACUACGGCGAGGGGUGCUGUCCACGCGCACCUGCGCUGGCAUCGGGGUCCCAAGCAAGGAGGGAGGCCUGACACAGGUGACCUUGCUGAUCAACUCUUCCACAGUGAUUGGUGGCACCUCCUCUUGCACAACAUUAGUCUCAAUGUGCAUCCCUCUUUCUUGGGGAUCUACUCCUGCACAACCUUCUCCAACGGCCUUCAUCAUGCGCCUUGCAUCGAAGGAGAUGGCCUUCUUGGGUGUUGGCGUCUUCUCAUGGACAAAUAGAGGCUGAGGCAGGUAUGGUUCAGCAAGCACACUUGCCACCUCCUCCAUGGGCUGAGACACAACCUCACAGCAAAUCAGAGCUUCAACAACCAUUGGGUCCUCCCCCAAGCAGUCCCCGCAGCAUUGCAGGCUACCAAUCAAGGGAGACACCAUGUCCAGCACUUCCGAAAAGCAAGCAGGCUUAGCAAGGGGAAUGGAAGCUUCAGUAACCAUUGGAUCUUGCCAAGGAGGGUCGUUGCGGUUGUCGAAGAGAAGCAGACAAGUUGGCAUACAAUCGACAAUAGGGUCAUGGAAAACAGCAGCUUCGCGCAUGGCCGAGCACAACAGAGGUUUGGUGGCGAGCUCACCAGAUAUCCUUGCAACCGGGGCAUGGAGAGCAUGAGGCUGCUGUCGAGGGCUAUGACGGGUGGGGCAAGAACUGGCAAUAUGACCAUUCUUCCUGCAGUUGAGGCAUCUCACAGGGUAUCUGCACUGGGCCACGCGAUGAUCAGACGCAAGACACCGCAAACAUUUGUUCCAGAAAGUCUUCCGGUAACGCUCGACGGCAGCCUGCGAAGGAGGUGGUCGCUGCACGGCAACAACAGGAGCAGAGACCAGACGCCCAGACUUCAACUCUCUCCACCAACCCUUGGGUUUGACAACCUCCCACGGAGACCCCCCUUGGUUAACAGCAGACUUGGAGGGAGGGGCCGACAGCGAAGGGUCUCCAGCAGCAGGGCCAUCCACCGGUCUUCCUGCGAGGCCCACCGCCGAGGGGGCGUGACGUGCGCAAGCAGAACCGGCUGGGAGAUGGAAACCGUCAUGGCAGACAGAGCAGCGUCCACUGUCCGCGGACCCGAUUCAGGCAUGGGGGCGGCGCAAAGUACCUGGGGCGUCGCUAAUGAGGAAGCUCGGGGCAGCACAGCCACAGGGGACGGCAGGUCGACCUCAUCCUCUGCAGAAAGGGGUGGAUCUUCGUCGCCGAAGGAGCCCCAAUCGAGUUUCUCGGGAGAAUCCUCAUCUGGAUCUGAAAAUUCGCAAGGGCUAGAGGAGCAGCGAAUGGAGGGAGAUGGAGAGGCUGCUGUGGGUGAGGAGGCCAUAUGGCAUGGCUGGGAGGUGGAGGCGUGAGGGCGUGGGGAGGCGGAGGCGUGGGUGCUUGGGGAGACGGAGCUACGCGGUGGCCGCGGCCGCCGCCGCGGAGUUGCCAGACGCGUCGCAGGGGCUCAUAGCAGCGGACACUCGUCUUAUCUUGAUGUGUAAUGGCAGUGUUUGGUUGGGGAAAUCAAGUGGAACGAAGUGGAAUGGUUCCAGUUUUGAAGGUGGUUUCAGCGUUUGGUUGAAAGAACGGAGAAAAUUGGCAUGGAACGAAAUGGUUCCACGGUUGGGAAUAUACCCCUCAGAUUCGGAACGAACCGAUUCCUAAAAAAACAAGGAAUCAUCUCGUUCCACCUCUCUCGCGCGAAAGAUUGGACUCCUGGCCCUCUCUCUUUCUAUUCUCACCCGGCGCUCUCUCUCCCAUGGCGGCUGCCCCUACUUCCACCCCCCACAGAUUUGGGCGCCACACAACCUCCGGACUCCCUCAUCGGCCAAAUCUGGUCCAAGCCUACGGCGGUGGAGGAGGGAGACGACGUGGAAGCAGUUUCGGUCGGCGGCGACGGAGGAAGGUCGUGAAGGGGAGAGGAGGCCGGCAACUUGGAGGAGAACGACGAGGUCUACCCGGUGGAGUGCGUGACCGCAUUCAAGACGGGCGAGGAGUUCACCUACUUCCUGGAGCGGUCAAGGGCGACGGGCACGCUGUUGGUGGUGGACUUCUUCCGGUCAUCAUGUGGCAGCUGCAACUACGUCGAGCAGGGCUUCAUGAAGCUCUCAAGCGCUCCGGCGACGACGGUUACCCCGUCAUCUCCCUCAAGCACAAGUGCACAACGUCUUGUUGGUUGGUAAUAAUUGAUUUGGAGCGGCCGAGUACUAAUUCCGUAAAUGUAGAGCAAGCUUAAUUAGCUUUCCUUCCAACGAGCCCUAAAUUAACGAAACAACAUCUUCAUUCCAUAACAAUUGAUGCUCUUCCAUGAAUGUGUUGUAUGGAAACAUUAAUACUGGUUCUUCUUAUAUCAGCUCUACUAUUUUGUUAUGGUUGAUAUAUGAUUAUGUAAAAAUUGUUGAUGUGAAAAAUACAAAAUAAGUGCGGACAUUUUUUUAUUAUUGUAAAAAUUAUAUAAAUAGCUAUAUUCUCAUGCUCACAGUCAUAUUGAUAAUCUCACCAGAAGUGAGUGCAUCUUGACCAUCUCAUUUCAUCUUCUCAACCAAACACAAAAUGGAACCAUUUUACUCCGUUCCAUCUCCUCAACCAAACAAAAUUCACAGCCGUUCCAUCUCCUCAACCAAACACCAAACCGGAACCUAUAAGAAUGGAACGGAACGGAAUGGAAUGGAACGGUUCCAUUCCAUUCCACACCACUCUAGAACCAAACACAGCCUAUCUUGAUUCGUGUGAUGUUAUGGUAACAUAUCAGUUACCACAAAUCCAUCUCUUUUUUCAUUUAUUGCCAUGCCAUGUCAUCCAAAAAUGACUAGUUGGCAUCUAUGUUACUACGCUAGCCAGCAACACCAUUAUCCGUCAAAUUAACAAAACGUUGUAGGUACGUGAUCCACGCAGAAUUUAAAUUCGGGUCGCGAGCCUGUCGAUCGGUACGGUUUCUUGUCUCUACGUGAUUAAAUUAGCUGACAUUAAAGUUUGGAUCGAUCGCGAGACUCGUAGUACUACUCGUAGGAAAGAACGUAUUUAUUGUGCGUGAUACUGAAUCCAGUCAUUCAGACCGCGAGCUCAUCAUGGAACAGUACACCAUCCGGGGCCCCUGCCUGUGCCUGCACGCGUUCACUGCAUGAAGUUUGUUGCAGCGCGCGCUGCGCCUUAACUCGCUUGCCGCCAGACCCGGUCAUGAUGGCCCGUCGGCCGUGGAUCGGUCCUGCGUCCAGAGCUAAACAAAAACGUGAGCUCAUUUGCUCUUGCCUGCGCGGCGGCCCGGCCCUAUCGAUCUGUCGUAGAGCGUGCGUGCACCACUGGAUGAAGUGUGGCAUGCAGUUGCUUACUGUCAAAAUGCGUCAUGAUCGAUCGAGCCAUGAGGUAAGCAGACACGAGGAACAAAAUCCGUAGCUGUAAUGUAAUGACUGAUGACCACACAUCAUGGCACAUUCUCAGUCUGGUACUGCGUUCGUACUGCAGAAUUUUGACAUAUCCAUCCCAUUUGUCCCCGGCCCCCUGGCUACGUACGUACUGGACCUCCGGAGCUGGAGUAGCUAGCCAUGUGCAUUGCUUCUCCAAUGCGUAUACAUUGUCAUAGACUGGUAGCUAAUACGGCGGCUGAUAGGUGCGUCCAACGACCGAAGUUCUGAAAACAAGGCCUUAGAUCGAUCUAGCUGCUAGCUAAGCUGCAUACUUGACGCGCAGGGGAAAUUAGCAUAUGUAUGCAGAUCGUCGUACGUGUUUACACCGGCAAAAGCUAGCUAGCGUGCAUGCAGUUCAUCAUGAAACGACCACCAGGACCAGACUAACUAACUUAGAGCUACCGUAGCUACAUGCCAUAUACUAUGUGCACGCACAUGAGUCACGAAAUUGGCCCAUCGCCCCUAGAAUUCAGCACAUUCACGACGGUAUCUGAAUGCAUGGAGCCACCGAGUAUGCAUGUCUUUGAAUGAAUUGAAGCACCAACCGGCCGGCCGGGGCCAGACUAAUUCAAGCCGCGGGGCACUUGCUGCCACUGCGCCGUUCCUGGAUCGCAACCCAACCUUGUCUUGCCUUGCCUUGGGUUUCCAGCUACUCCAGUAAGCUGCAUCCUGACAACUAGGUCCUCAUGACGCCCGGCGCGAGAUCCUGCAGGCUAGCUAGCUGCGGCUUGAUUGAUCCGCAGCCAAAUAUUGGCAGCGCCUGCGUCGAUCUGCUGCAGGCAAGGCAAUGUAGGUUUUAGCACUCAGAUAGUCAGAUGUCAGCAGUUAUUAAGCGUCUCCUCAUUUAUACAUGGGUUUGACGGUUACCACUUGAAUUCGCGCUCACUAGCUAGCUCUGACACUGAAUGGGGGGAGGAAUUUUGGCUGCUCGAUCAGGAGGGGGGUUCACAGCCAGGCUACAGGUUCAGGCUCUCUGUCCCAAAUCCUCGGAUGCAUGCAUGAUUGCCUGCUUGCUUGCUUUGGACCUGCUACGACUAGCAGUAGCGGUUAGGAUGGGGCGCGCAUUGUGCUGCGGUAGGUACAGUAAUAUCUGUAGGUGACACACUCCGCCGCUGCUGAUUUACAGUCCUCUCAACUCCUGCUAGAUCCCCUCUCUAAAUAACUGGCUGUCAAGUUCAACUAUCGAUUUUGACCUGCGUACGUGGGGUGCGUGAUUCCAAGUGUUAUGGGACGAAUUUAAUUGUAGCUUACUACUCCCUCCGUGCCAAAUUAACUGUCGUGGAUUUGCAUAAGAAUCUAUUUCAAUUAAUUCGGGACGGAGGGAGUCCUAUUUCAGUUCAGCUUCUGAAAGUUGAGACACGAAUUAUAAUCCUCAAUUCCUCAUGCAUUUCCGGCCUUUGGGCUGGUAUCCUUGAUCACUUCAUCUCCACCGGAACUGGAGCCCUUCUGUUGUUUUUACCUUGCAUUCUUCUCCCACAUAUCCAGCUUUGAUCUCCAGCUUCUGUGUUGCUUUCGGUAUUGCCAUGCUUCUAGCAUGCAUGGUACCUGCUCUUCUUGUACAGAGCAAUUUUUGACAUGGCUGUUCGUAGUCGUAGCUAUAGUACUGGUACUGUUAGAAUUGACGUAGUAUCAGUAAGUAGAUAACACCUAUACAUGUAUAUAGCGUGUACUCAACUGUAUUGCGCACAUCAAUUAUUGAACCAUGCAUUGGAGCUUGCUCGAAGGGCGCGCGGCAUUGAUUGAAGCCGUUAGAAAACGUUGGUGGCGGUAGCAUAACGGCAUAAAUGUGGAGGUUUGUUGGAAGCAGCCAUGAUUGGGCAUGCUGCAAAGCUCGCGAGAGGCAUGGCGUGGUUGUCAUGUAUGGACAGAUUGGAGACUUUUGAGCAUUGUGUGUGGACCAUGAAUGCAUGUGUGCGUCCUGCCUCCCUGCCUGCCUGCCAAUCCCUCUCCCUUGCCAUUACUCUUGCUUACUCACGCACCCUCUCUCCCUGCACCAAUUGCUUUCUUUCCUACUGAAUCGCAUAUUUUGCACGGACCCUUUCGUUCAGCCCUGGGAGAUAUAUUGUCCAGAGCUCCCCUGCCUUGGCAUUCAGACAACAGCAACCUUGCUCGCUGCUCUAGCUUUGCUGCUAAACAUGGCCACCACGUCGCCGCCCAGGGCCCCCGGCCUGCUGCCUACUUCCGUGCAACCAGAGAGAUUCAGGCUUUCUGGCCAACGUCUUUUUCACUCUAACGAUUCAGUGAAAAACCUGAAAUUUCUACUGUUCGGUAUAGUUACCAUGAAACCGACCGAUAUGCGGUUGGACGCACGCAACGACUGGUGAGGAUAGUAGUAAUAGACCAGCUAGCUAGAACCAAUGAACAGAUUAUUCCGGGUACCUCGGCAGGCUCGGCUGGGCCUCUCUUUCGCCGGAAACAAACGCAAGAUUCUGGUUUGGAUUCAGGGGAUGGGCCGGCCACCGGCCACGUGAACAGAACAGUUCCAUCUUUUUCUGGCAUGAGCAUUGUUUUCCUGUCUCCCCUCUUCUCCUAUAAGUGGUCAAAAUGGAGAGAAGCUUUGGCCUGUACCUAACUAGGCAACUAAGGCAUAGCACAGCGUUUCACUUGCAGAUUGCAUUGAUGGCCUAAAAACACCAGGUUCGCUAGUCCUCAGACCCUUGAAUGUCAUCGUGUUAAUCAAUUUACUCACGAUUGGAUCGUCACGGAGAUCCGUACGUGCCAAUCCUUUUCCAUCGUCUCUAGCGAGGCCACCACAAUGCAAACGGAGGAAGUGCUGAUUAAUUGCGUUAUCAGACAGUGCUAAUUGGUGGGAUGCAUAAUAAUAAAAACUUGCCAGAUCCCAUUAUACUGAGAUGUGUGUGAAUACUUAUCUUACAUCUCGUUUGUCACCUAUCAUUUGCGCCUGAUAUCCUGAAUUUCAUUAUGGAUUACAACAACCAAUUUGCAUAGUUUGGCUGGCACAUAACUGGACACAUGCAUUUAUAAAAUCUGAAAUUUCACAGAAUCACACCCUAUAUCUAACCCCGGAUCUUCUCUAAGAGCCAUCAUUUCUCUGAAUUGUCUCAUUCUACAAAUUAAUGUGCAAAACAACAUGGAUUUUGAAUCUAGAAUUCAAAUUCAACAAAAUGAACAAAAUUUGGAAAUAAGGGUUGCCAAAUGGACAAUUACAGAUCCCCACAGAGAUUCGUUGUUUCUAUAUACCCAAAUACUUCAAGCUCAGCCCAUUACUCUUAUGGAGUACGCCCUCCGAUUUUAAAUUGUUGUCGUUGUUUUAGUUCAAAUUUAUACUAAAACAACGACAACAAUUUAGGAUUGGAGAAAUACUAGCUAGAUAACUGAAAUAUGUUAACUCGAAGUACCAAAAUGAUCAUGGGCGAUCGUAAAAAAAUGAUCAUGGGCGCAUUUUUUCUCACACAUUUUCAGGUUGUGAACUUUAAGAUGAAAUAAAGGCCAAAACAAAUACUCACGGGGCACACAUUAUAUUGCUACCAUGCCACCAUACAGGUUGAACAGAUCCCAUGCUAUCAUCUCCAACCAGAGUUCAUAGAAGUCCUCAUGUCAUGUUGCAGUAGGUACCAACGUAAAUCACUGCCUGAGGGAGGGGGACAGCAAGAUUCAAUUUUGUUUUUCUCUUAGACCCUUUCUUUCUUAUGCAACAAGCUGUGUAUUUUUACAUUUUGCCCCCUUAAUAUUUGUCUGUUCAUGCUUUUUUCCAACCUCCACCCCUGGAUCAGACCAAUGGGACACCUUAUGUAUAGCCUAGUUUAUUCGAAAAAUUGCCUGUUAAACACAAGGUCAUUUCAGCAAUUCAACAUCUACUAACAAACCUGGCUAAUGCUAUGAGAGAUUUCAGCAUUCGCCGGUCAGCCUAUCCCUGUAACCACUUUCCAAACUUAUUGAAAAUAUGACGAGACGGUGGAGAGUUAAAAACAACAAAGAUGACAAAUUUUAAAGCACUUCUAUAUACGAGUGUGCGAUGACAUAUAGCCUGGCUAGCUAACUAGUCUCCAACCAAUUUGAAUUUAUCUGGUGGAAGCCGACGAUUGAUUGAUGAAUGCAAGAGCGGGCGGGAGCGAGAUAAUACGCAUGCAAGUACUACAUACACAUGUGUCUACACUACUCUCGGGAGAAGCAAAUCACCUUUCCAACCCUUCUUUUUUUGGCCGGAUAGAUGUGUUUGGUAGAGACUAGCUAGAGAGGACCCGAUCGACAGGGCAUAUUUACUCAUGUUAGGUAACGAUGCAUGCGCCGGCCGGCCAUGCCUUCCCACGGACACCAGAUCGUUCGCUGCGUCCCGAACGGAGAUAAUCAGGGCAAGAUCGAUAUCUGCACCGGUCUAGUCACACAGUACCGCGCCUGCUGGUAUAUUGCCCAUCCACUGCACACACCUAUCUAUCUAGACUAUCCAUCUAUAUAUGCUUAUAUGCAUAUCUUAUGCAAAGAGGCCGAUCAGCGUCACGUCUCUGAACCACCCAUGUACACGCACAGGCGCACAGCUAUAGCUACCCUAGAGCUAGCUCCCUAGCUAGUUAGAUAGCUCUGGCUUUGCGUCGUUGGAACAAUUUCGGGCGUGUGAUUGCGUGUCGCUUUUCCUCAUUCAGGGCCGGUGCAAUCACCUUUGCUGCAGCUCUACUUGUGGAGGACGAGGAUGGAGUGGCUUGGCCAUAGCUCCUCCUACUAGCAACCUCCAGCGGCGUGCGUGGCCUUUGAAUGCUUGGCUUGGCUUUGGCUCUGCUGGGUGCAGGGUCGUGCCUCCUGGGUAAUAGGGUGUAUCCGCAUCUGUACUAACAUUGUCAAGUGUAUAUAAAUGGGCUUGCAGGUCUGGCACGUACUCAGCUAUCCGGACAGGCUAGGAGCUCAAAACUAUAGAUAAACAAUGAGUAGUCACGGAGACAGCAUUUUAUGGCAAUGGUAUCACAAAAAAAACAUAAUUGCGACUGACUUUCGCAGAUAACCACAAAAACUCUUAAAUAACUCUAUACAUCAAUUUGUGUAUUCUAAAAAAAUACUCUUAAAUAACUCAAAUUUAUCGGUUUAACGUGGUUAGCAGCUAUUUCCGACAGUUUGACCCACAUGUAAGUGACUGCGUGGGAAAAAAUUGGAACCUGACCAAACCAGCUGACUUAUAUAUAGCCCGGUUUAAAAACCUCCUCCAUAUGGUCAUUCUCAUUACUGUCUCUCCCUCGCCGGUCCUUAAGGUCUGGUUUCCGGUCCCCUGCGAGUCGGCAGGAAAGGGACCGAGCCCUCCUUUUGCGAUGGUCCUCGACGACGGGCUUCUCGGUCCGGCCGACGAGGGUGGCAAUUGUUGGCCGGGCUUCGGUAGGUAUGCCACCGGUGAUUGAUCAACGAGAUGAAGGAGAGAAGGAAGAGAGGCAAAAGCCCGACAUGCGUCGGAAGCGGUCAUGGUCAGCCACUAAACCGAAAGAUUUGAGUUUUUAGUACCUUACCAACUUAGGUGAGUUAUGUGAAGUCAUGUGUUGGAACUUUUUUAGUAAUAGAUAAAUUCACUUUUAGUCGAGACAAGAAUUAUGAGAUGACGAGAGCAAUGAAAUUAGUCACACGUGUGAUUUUGUGCUACCUUGUCACAAAAUUUUUGGUGUGAUGUUUACUUUUUCUUUACAAAACAAUUGCGAUUGAUAUGGCACUUAAAAUCGAGUGAACGGAGCCAAGAGCUCAGUUCGCUCUUUCUCUAGAUAAAAAAAAGAUACUACCUAUUUAGCGAAAAUGCAUGUUCAGUGUGAAUUUUGCGAAACUAAUGUGGAUAGCGGUUCAGAUCAAAGGUGCUUCCAGAAGUGUACGCAUUAUCCCACGUGUGUAUUGAAAAAAGGCUGUGACAAUCCAAGCGACUGAUUUUUAAGCAAAAUGUUUAAAUCUUAGCUGAAGUAGCAGAGCCGUCGGAUUAGCAUCUCGACGGCUUCGUAAUCCUUUCUUUCUUUCGUUCUUCCCCUAAAUCAUAAAGCAUGAUCCAGAUUUAACGACCGAGCAAUCAAUUGUCCCUGACUGCAAAUGAGGAUAGCAAAACCGUGAAAAAAAAGAUACAAAGACAAUAUAUACUCGGUGAUACGAUGGAAACUAGGCUGUCAAAAUUAAACAAUGGAAACUAGCACAAAUGGUUUUCUUAUUUUCUUUCCCCCCGCCGGAUAUGCAGGAGUAACAUCGUAGCACUAGCACACAUCAGGCUUGUGCUCCUCUUAUGGAAACACGGGAACCAAGCAGGGAGCUCUCUUUUGGCACAGUAUGGCACCACCGAGUCGACCACCAUCUCCACCAGUGACCAUGCCGCCAAGCAGCUAGCGCUUCGCCCUCCGGUCCAGCCAGCCGCACCCGCACCCGCACGGGCAGCUUCCUUUCUUUCUUUCCCACGGCCUCUCUCUGCCCGCUUUGGCCGCUAGCGAGCGCCUCUUUCCGCGCGAGAGAGACCGGCCGGGGCCGGGGCCGGGUCACGCGCGUACGUAACGUACGUGCUCCAGCAUCAUGCGCCCGGCCGGUACGUCUCCUUCACUGACCCAUUGGCGAUCGAGCGCACGAACGCGCCACUGUGGCAGGAUCAGCAGCACUGCUCACCCACCGGCCCGGUCUGCCUGGCGGAAAAAGAUUCGAUUAAUUGCCCUGAGCCCCUGACCGCCCGGGGGAUCCAAACGUUUGUUGUUCCUUCGAUCGGCUCCCCUCCCUCUAGUACGGAACACAAGUGCACGCACGUACGUACUUACGCGAGAUCGACCGAUGUUGUAGUACUUUACUACAAAGCAAAUACAGCACGACCACUCGUGUAUCAGCAGCGGUACAGCACAGUACGUACGUCUCUGUGCCACUACUUCCUACUGUACGUACGUACUACUACGUGCAACGCACACGUACGUGCUGCGGCUGUAGGGCCUGCAAGAGGGUUGGGUUGAAUUAAUAAUCGUCCGGCCGGGUUUGGACAAGAGCUAGCGUUCGUGCGUGCGUGCGUGCGCGCUCGCUGCCAGGACUGGUUCACAGGCCGCCGCACAGUUUGAAAAGAAAGGUGCCUGUAGUCGUUGCAGCUGGGCUCCUUCAGACAGACAGACAGAGAGACGGGCACACCGGCCGGGCGGAUAGCUUGCUUGCAUGCAUGUUUUGUCAAGGGGAUCAGGGAGUCAAGCAACCACGCCCCGCCCCUGCUGCCCUGCGUACGUGCGCUCUUCAUUUAAGAGUGAGAUUCUGCCUGAUCGAUCCGUCCAUCCCUGGCUUUGCUUAAUCGUUUUGCCUGCCUGUAUUUCCAUGUGCCAGGUACGUACCCAGGUAUUUGAGCAGCUACGAUCUUGCGUUGCAUGCUAGCUUGAUCAACCAAAAAACAUAUCAUUGUACCCGUAUCUGGCAGCAAUAAACAAAAAAUAUAUCUGGCGCAUGUACAUGAACAUUCAGACGUACCGGUUCCUUGCUGCUCACAGAGUGGGAGAGAGAGAAUGGAUGGAUGCGUGUGUUGUGUCCUUGCAAACCAACACACAUGUGGUGAGAUGACAUCUACACGUGCGGUGGGGGCUCUCGAUGCUUUGUUAAACUCGGUGAAAGCCAUGAGCGAUGGCAGGCGGUAGUAGUGGACAGCUGGGACAGUGACAAGCCUAGCGGUGCAGUAAAUAAUAAGAUCUUCUGCACCUCUCGUUUUACCGCACCCAACACACAAGGCUGCCAGCUGGUUCGUAAAUUUCACUGCCCACAUCUCGUCCAUGCAUGCAACAGGAAGAUUAGAUUACGUCGCUCGUCGGUCCUCGACUUGAAAUCUUGAAUACGUAGAGGACAAAACGGCAUGUCGAAUUAAUACGGUGUACCAGCAUGUAUGGGUAGACAGACACGUAUUCAUGAGUGUAUAAAGCAGAGUAUGAUGUUGAUUUCUCUGUACGGUUGGAUGUUCCGACGACCGAUUCCUGAUGAGUUAUAACUUAUACCAUGCCAACGGUUUGCUCCGGCCAACCCGCCGCGCGCGUGCAUGCGCGGUCCCCCAAAAGACCACGCAGCUCGAUCGAUCGCAACCUUAAUUCCUCAUACUGAUAAAUCUCCCUCUCACGCACGGGUUCGUACGGUUGUACCAUGCCAAUUAGGGUUGUGUUAAUGUGCUAUCUACAUCGGGCACACCAGUGCUUCUCCGGUUCGCAGCUGUAGCAGUACUACUCUCUCCGACCCAUAUUAUUUAUCUCAAAUUUGUUCAAAUAUAAAUAUAUCUGUGCUUAAAAAAGUCUGAAUACAUGUAAUAUUUCAUCAAGUAAUUUCGACCGGAGGGAACAGUAAAAGUUUGGCUAGUCUGAAUGAUCGAUGCUAAUCUGAGGACGUUAAUCAUUAUUGGCCUUAACGAGAAUAAUGUACUCCUAUUACACUUGUAUUGGGAGUGGCUUUACUCGGCGGCCCACGCCCGUAGGCACCGGCGGCCGUGCCUCGUCAUCCACGGGCAGGCGCCACGACGCGCAUAAAUAGCUGUCGGCGACCAGCGCGCAUGCACAACACCCCGCCGCGCGCGCAGACGAUCCCUCGCCUCGCCUCGUCUCACCAUCUACGGUCCUCCAGCUAGUAGCUAACCUAUCCAACAGUAAAAGGCAAAGCUCACACUUAGACGGGAGUAAAAAGAGUGCGAGUGAAGUGAGUGAUAGAGAGAGAGGCCUAGUAGCUGAUCUAGCCGUGCGUGGGUUCCUUUUAAAGUAAAACGAGCUUACAAGCUUGUGCUCCCUCCCGUCCAUCUCCUUCCUGCUGCUAGCUAGCUGCUUCCUCUCCUCUCUCCUCCAAGCUCCUUCAACUGGCCAGCCACUCACUAGCUAGCCGUGUCUUAGAUUGGUUGGGCGCAGCAAGAGAGAGUAAGGACUCGUAAUAGGUUAGCUGGGAUCCAUGCCUUGCUCGUCGGUGUCUCCUCCGUGGCUGCUCCGCGUGGCGGCCGAGCAGGCUGCAGCCGCAGCGUCGUCGUCUUCCUCGUCGACCAAGGGCGGCGGGCGCGUGCUCACGGCCACCAUGGACGACACGGGCGCCACCACGGGAGCCGCCGGAGGAUACAACAACAACGGGCAGCAGGAGAGCUGCAGCAGCGGGCAGUCCUCGAGGCAGCAGCAGCAGCUGGCUGCCCGCGGCCACUGGCGCCCCGCCGAGGACGCCAAGCUCCGCGAGCUCGUCGCCCUCUACGGGCCCCAGAACUGGAACCUCAUCGCCGAGAAGCUCGACGGCAGAUCCGGUAUACGCACAUCAUAAACCCCGCCGCGCAUUCCACUGACCCACGUCUGUUUAACUUAUUUAACUUAUAAAGUUUGUUUGAUUGUAAUAUGGGCCGGGCAGGGAAGAGCUGCAGGCUGCGGUGGUUCAACCAGCUGGACCCGCGGAUCAGCAAGCGGCCGUUCAGCGACGAGGAAGAAGAGCGGCUGAUGGGGGCGCACCGGUUCUACGGGAACAAGUGGGCCAUGAUCGCCAGGCUCUUCCCGGGCCGCACCGACAACGCCGUCAAGAACCACUGGCACGUCAUCAUGGCCCGCAAGUACCGCGAGCAGUCCACCGCAUACCGCAGGCGGAAGCUCAACCAGGCCGUCCAGCGGAAGCUCGACUCCUCAUCCUCCUCUUCCGUCCUGCCGUUGUCUACAGCCGCCGCCGGACCAGGAGCCGGGCACGUCGACUUCCAACAGCAGCAGUUCGACUACUCCGCCGGCGCCGAUGGGUUCAGCUUCCGGCACUACUGCUUCCCGCCUUUCCACGGAGGCUCAGGCGCCGCCGCCAUCGCUGCAGCCUCGGUCCAGGAGCCUUCCUUCUGCCUGUUCCCCGGUGAGUAACUGCAUUCGUUCGUUCGUUCGUUCCCGGCUGCUGACACUGACUGGUGGGCUCUCACACAAACUCCCUGCUGAGUGCUGAUCGAUUAUUCUAGCGGACCGAGCUUUGCUCACCGUCCGCUGACAAGCUUUCCCAGGCGCACGCACACGCACACCGUGCCGAUCAACUCUCUCAUCCUAUUCGUACGAACCACAUUCUACUGUAGGUCGAUCGAGCCGGGUUAACGGAGCCCCGGUGCUCGGGUCCCUUAUUGGUACUACACGGUAGUACUAACACGGCCGGCCUCAGCUGUUUCGUUGCUUACCCUGCCAGUACCUCCACCGGCCGGCAGCCGAAUAAAUGCCCUUGCGUCAAACAUGCAGCAUGUGGGGGGGAGAGACGAUGGAUACAUAGAUAGAUCGAAGACCAGGUACUGGCCGGGAAGACUUGGACUUCCUUCCUCUCCCCAACGGCGCACGUACAGUGUUCGUUCGACAAGCAGCUAGUAGCACAGUGAUCUCGCACACGCGCGCGUACAGGGGUUUGGCAGAGAUCAGGCGAUGGCGUACACGAGCCGAGCAGUAAGCUUUCACCCAACCACUGACCAGUAGUAGUAGCCCGGACGGACGGACGGACGGACGGACACUGUGGUGGAUGGACGGACGGACCGAUAAAACUUGCCACGGCCGUGCGUGGAGGAACAGGGACAUGGGAGGAACAGCGGUAUGGGCGGGGAGAUCAUCUGCCGCAUCAUAUCGAUCCCCAUAAAUGCCCCCACCACCCUCUUAUUUCCUCACCUGUAUAUAUAAUGCCUUCUCCUGUUCAUCAACUCGCGUUUCUUUCCUUGAUUUCUCACUUCCUCGAUCGGUUGAUGUCGUUGGAGUUUACUACCGUGUAAAAGGGUCCAAGUAAAGUAACUGUAAAACUAACGCGGUGGUUCUUGAAUCUUGACUUCUUGUUGUGUUUGACCGCAUGCGCGCAGGGCCCAGCGCGGCAUUGGUGCACGACGGGCGCCUGAUGACCGGCUGGGGAGGAGGUGAUCAAGGGAUGGGCCUCGCCCGGUACGGUGAUGCUCCGCCGCCGUUCCUGCUGCCGGCGUCGCACGGCGGCUGGAUCGCCGGCGGCGGCAGCCAUCAUGAGUUGGCGCGGUUCAUCUCCGACGAGGCAAUAAAUGGACCGCCGGCGGGCGCGGCGAGGGAUCAUCAGCAGCAGCAGCAGCAGCAGGGCGCGCACUUCGACUUCGACCAGGCCGCGGCGUCGCCGACAUUCAUAGAUUUCCUUGGGGUCGGCGCCACAUGAUCGAUCGAUACACCGACGCACGCACGCAUGCAUUGAUCCAUCGAUUCGAUGCAGAUUUAUGCUCUAUACUUAUCAAUUAGCACAAGCGUGAGUGCAUGCAUGCAAGCAGGAGGUGGAUCUAGCUAGGACGGGUACUAGCUCUAGCUUCUAGUUAGCUCGCUGUAAAACUACACAUGCUUGGCAAGCUUGCAGUCUUAGUGCUGCUCCUCGAUCUAGCUAGAUAAAAGCUGCAUGUGUAGUAUAACUAGUAUAGGUAUGUUCUGUCUGAGGUAGAUCAAGUUAGGAAUUUGUAGCUGGCCAAGGUUGUGUUUGAUUUGGAACUUUUUGGUGGAGGAAGGAGCAUGAACUUUGAUUAUUUGGGAUUUACUAGCUCUAGCUCCAUAUGAAUAACGCAAGUCUUGCAUCUGAUGCAUAAAAUGAGCUUUGUUUGAGCUUUAGCUCUAGAGGAGUACUGAUUAAUUCUUUUGGUCCUUAAUUAGUUGGUCAAUUUUAUUGGGAGGAUCUAUUUCUCAAUCGACUUUUUAGUCGUUAAUUUCUUACUAGUCGACAAUCAUAACUAUCUGAUUAAGAAUUUCUCGUCUUUGUACUUGCAUGAAUUUUAGGCAAGAGACGGUUGUUUAGUAUCAAUUCAAAAAUAGUUAUUUCUUGAUCGUUUUAGAAAUUAAUAGCAAAAAAAACGAUUUAAUAAUUGCCCAAUGUAGAUGACAAGGGACCGGCUACCUGUAGCUAGAUGUGUGGACUAGUACUGUCAGUACAGUCUAGUCUGCUGUUACUGCUUCUAACUAACUAAAACUAAUACUGUUAGUUCUUUGAGACUAUUAAUUGCACUCACGUGUGAUUUAAGAUCUUAAUGACACACGUACUGUUCGUCAUACUCAUGCUGAAAUGUUUCCUUCAAUUCAAAUUAAAGGUUGUUAUACAGAGAGGAUGUUUAUCAAUUUUUUCCCGCAAAGUUUAAUUUUAUGCAAAGCUGUAGUAUAAUACGUACUCCCGUUAGGUUACCUGGCAAAAAGUCACAACAUGCAUGUAUCUAGCUACUAAUGAACUUUCUUAAUUUAGAUCUUGAGUUACAAGGUAACCCUGAUGGAUUGGGUGGGCCGGCUGUGGAGCUAGCAUUAAUUAUUGUCCUGUGUUAGUUUGACAAAAAAUCUAAGACCCAGCACUGCUCACAAGGGAGAAAAUUCGGCACGUUCUUCUCUUGUGUUUGUUAAUCUAGCCAGGUGUUCAUUUUCUGAAGCGACUUGUGUUGUUCUAGCUGGUAGUAGUACAGUACGUGUUUGUAAUAAAUUAUGGGAUUGUUUGCAUAUAUGCUAGCAAGAUUGUCAUGCUGCGCGCAGUUCGUAGGCAUUGAAUGAAUGCAGCCAUGGUCUCAGUUGAGUAGAAAGGGACUGCUCGAUUCAGUUGAGACGUCUCACAUCUCAGAUACGUACGUGUUUCAUGUCCAGGCGGGUUAUAAUGGACUUGUCUCUUUUAGAGAGUGAAAUGGGCUAGCUAUAACUACAAACGUAGCCUUCGACCGGGCCGCAGACCAACUGUUGCGAUAAUCACGUAGGAUCCAUCGAGUGGCUUUUACAUAAUUGGGGGUGCCAGAGCGCUACCUGUUAAUUUCUUAAUCAAGCCACAAAACUGGUAUACCUUCGAAAAGGUUGCAACUAAACCGAUAUAUAUUUUACUGCGCUAACGAAAAUUAAAGUUCCAAAUUUUGCACUAAAAUCACGAUAAGUAUUUAGAAACAGAUGAAAUAACGUGUAAAACUGACCAUUAGACAGUACAACCUUUUUUUUUUGUACAGGGCAACUUGCAUUUAGAGCCAAAAGAGCGCCGGGAGGUGAUCGGUGAACCCCUAUUUGCUACCUGUUGCGGCAUACUAUGCCGCACAAGGCCUUAGCACUAGCUUAAUUGGGCCGGACCGGUACCUCUCUUUAUGAUUUUGUCUUUGUUUCUUUGUUACUACCUUAUUCCUGGUCAUUUUCGUUCGUGCUUGUAUCCAUCAUUUUGCUUUAUUUUAGCCUUUUCUGGACUUGUUAACUUGCUCCACUCCGGUGUAAUAAAGGGAGGAGGUGUAUUCCGAUCCUAUGCGUUCCGUUUAUGGGGAACAAAAGUUCUGUCCAAGUUCUUUUGCCGGCCGGUUUAGAGCGGGAUCGAGGUCGAUGAUCGGUUGCACAAACGCUGAAACGCCAGUCGCCAACCUAUAUGUAGCGACAUGUAUAGCGUGUUAGAUGACUUGCUGUGAUCCCGUCGCCCACCUCCCGACGCUCUCUACAACAGAUCGUGUGUUACACCUGCAGUUAUCAUCUGUAAUCUAUAUAUACUUCAUGCACUGUACUCGGUUAAUGCAAUACAAGCAGUUCCUCUUCACAAAUUAUCAUAGCGGCCAUCGAAAACGAUUUGACAUGUCGGCCACAUGCAUGCAUCGCAACGCACGCAAAGGCCGGCCGAGAGCCAGCAUCAAAUUAACCCGUACGUACGUACGUGCUGGGAGGAACUAACACGAUGUUGAUCUCUACCGGCGCCUAGCUAAGCUAGCUUGUACGGUCCCUGCAUGCCGGCAAAUACGUACGGGACGUACGGCACACUCAUAAUUAACUCGCCGUCUCUUUCUUCCGGCCGGUGUCUAGAUGCUCGGCACGGCCGUACGCGAGCCACAACGGCGACAAGCAGCUAGCUAGCACGGCCACGCACUUGGUUAAGCUAGCACUUGUUCGCACUACAAGGUUUUCAUCCUUUUGCCACGGAAAUGUUAGCCACAAGAUGAAUUCGGAUGCAAUAGAUAGGGUAUACUGCAACAUUAUUCAGUGUUGGUUGCGAUAUGGGGUCUGGUGGUUGCAAUAGCGGGUAAUGUUGCAACGGAUUUGUAUUGUUGUGUUUUCAAUUAUUGGGGUUGCGAUAAUUAUGACAUAUCGCCCCGAUACAUGUUUGUGUUGCCUUAAGAUCUGCGUUAUUGCCACUUGUUAUGUAAGGGUUGCAAAAGAGCAUUUGGUACAGCAACAAUUGUUGGGUGUUGCCAAGGACCUAUUUGAUAUAACAACGCCAAUGGUACCUGCUGCAAAAGGAUUUUCUAUGGCAACCAAUAUUUCCUGGUUGCGAAUGACCCAUUAGAAAUAGCAACGUAAAGCUGAAUGGUGGCAAACGCUUAUUGGAUAUAGCAACCAAAAUCAGAAUCGAUGCAAACGUGCCAUUAGAAAUGGCAACAUGACGUAGUCGUUGCAGAAACAUAUUUUUUUUAUAGCAACGCAACCCUUAAUGGAUGCAAGAGAGUUUUCGAUAUAGCAACCAUGCUCUUACUGGGUUGCAACAAUCGGAGUUCCAUUGCAACACAUGUAAGCGGUCGCUAUUUGGUAAGGCAAAAAAAAGAAAAAAUCACAACCCUUUUUUUUAUAUGGGACCGAUCGGGUUCUGGUGUCCACCAAGUGGAGAACCGGCGGGGAGAUAACGGAGACAGGCGCAGUGUGCCGGCGGAAUUAUGAAUUAGUUGCACGUUUGUGAACAUGACAUUAAUUUGAGCUGCGGAGGCACAUAUUUAUAAUAGAAUAAUAUAUUUUUAUAUAAAUACUGUAAAAAAAUAAAAAUAUGCUGCCAACAAAUGAGACUUCAUGAAACAAAAGCAACCCAACGAUACUGGAAUUGGUAGGUCCAAUCUGUCAAUUCCCGUCCGUGUUUGCCGGAAGCCCGCAACUGGCCCAGCCCAACCGACGCACAACCCAGUUGAAACAAAUGUUCAAGAACAGGCCCAACGAUGUAAAAAGGAUAAAAAAAUUGUUUUCACCUCAAUAGCAAGCAAGAGUUGAUAGCUCAGGUGGCUAGCAGGUGCAUCCUCAUGGGAAGAGAUAGGUCGUGAGUUCGAUCCGGUUUGGCCUAACCGUCCGGUUCGCCGGUUUUCAGUAAAACUGCCCGGUUCACCCGGUUUUCUUCGGUCCAGUCGCCCGUCCGGUCCAACACCCGGUUCAUUUUUCCAGAACAGCACACACGAAGGCACGCACACAGCCUUGCCUAACCCUGACUAUACAAUGUGUGUCCAACACCUAUUAGAAUUGCUCAUGUGAGUAUACCUAGAUGCAGACUAGAAUUUGUGUCCAACACCUAUUAGGAUUGCUCAUGGUACUGCAUCUAUAUAUAUUGGACAAACUUGCUUGUAAUUAAACAGCAACCCAGAAAAUCGAGAGGAGAAGAAAAGCAGACGCACGUACGAUACGUGAGACGAUGCCUCCUGCAGGCUUACGUAUUGUACUGUACGAGGACACCGAAGCUGUAAUGGCUGCUAGUCUUAUGAGUAUUUGUGUUGUAGGCUGUAAUGGUUAUUAGUCUUAUUUGUUAUGGACUUAUUAUAUAAUGUUGUACACAUGCUUUACUUGUCAUCUACUUGUCAUCUUUUUGCAUACAUGCUGCCUAUUUUUUUCACCGCUAACGAGCUUAACAAGCCCCCGACGAGCGCUCGUGAGCAGUAAACGAACUGAGCCGAACAAGAUUUAAUGUUCGUUAAGGUUAACGAGCAUAAAGAGCCGAAUUCUUAACGAGCCGAGUUCUUAACGAGUUCUUAACGAGCGAGCUCUUAACGAGUGAGCAUGCUCGUUAGCCAGGCCUACUUGUGAGGGCUUACAACAACACAUGUGUGCUAAAAAAAAGGAUGGUUAUACCUGGGACGAAUGAUUUUUAAGCAAAAAUCUUAAAUCUCAAUAAAUGCAUUAUAACCAUUGGGUUAAGAUCCGGUUGCCAUCCUCGCUCGCUCCUCUAACACGUGUUGUACAUCAUUAUAUUACUCUAUUAAGACUCAACGGACCAGCACGUCGACCUAUCUCUAACUAAAAGCAGACGACUUCUUCUUAGCAAAUAAGUAAAAAAAAUAGUUUUUCAGGUUUGAAGCUUCAAGCUUUGGCUAAAAUUUUCAAACUGAUCAAAAAAAUACUUUAAACUUAUCGAAACACAAUCGGUCUUCUGGGUGGAGACGAUCGACAACAGUCUCAUCAAGCCGGCCAGCAGCUUCGUUUUCUCGUACUACUGUUUGGAAAUGAAGCAAUGAUCAUAAGCUCCUUUCAAAAUAACACUUGCGUGUGGCUGAAAUGGCCAUUAGCCUAGCUACUCCUCAAGCGCUGAGCGGUCGACGCUGCUGUGAUUCGCGCCGGACCGACAUCUUCUGCCUCUCGGGACUUCUCCUUUUGUUGCAGGCCCGCACGUGGUGGCGUGACUGACUGACUGAUGGAUGGAUUGCAGGCGAGUUUGGCCAUGCGCACGGACGCGCUUUCCAUCGAGUUGCCCGUACCGUGUCAGCCAGAAGGGGCCAGGAUUAUUAUUGCUAGCUAUAGCAUCCUUUUUUUUUUUCUGUUUGCCGAGACGGACGUGACAAUAGCGCCUGACCAGCCGCGCAGGGGAUUCUUCGCUGCGUUGUACGUACGUUCCAUCGCGUCCGUGCGUGCGGCACCACUGUUGCCACGUUCGUGCGUGACGCAAUGGACUUAUCCGUGGCCUGGCCGGCCGUGUUGUCACGUACGUGGAUCUAUCUACUAAUGGAGCGGCAGCGCUGCCAUAAGUAAACAGCAAGACUGGCCGGGGACAUUUCUUCCGCCUUCCUCCGUGGCAGCACCGGUGCUAUCUUUCAGAAACAGCAGGGCUUUGGGGACUUCCGCUGUAGUUACCCAAGUCUGGUCAGGAUCAGGUUACCGGUAUUUAUGUUGGGGAUACUACAGGGUUUGGAGGCGUCAUGAGUCCUCUGAAAAGAAAAUCUGAAUCGCACCUUCUUCUUUUUUUAAUCGAGUUGUGGAAAUGUUUUAUUACCAAUGUAUUUAUGUCUCCGAACCUGGACCUGUUGUCACGAACCACGACCGUUGGGUCAAUCUCAUCGAACCAGUUAAAAAAAUGAGUAAAAUUAGACAUGUAACUUUAGGAUAUGUUUGGUCCGUAACUAGUGUUGCCACAACUAAAAUUAUGCAAAGUUUGUCUGCCACAACAAGUGUAGUGAAAAAAAUGGCUGGCAAGGUGGAUCAUAUGGCCAGAAAAGUAUGGCAAUGAACCAAACAUAUCCUCAUGUAGUCAUGUGUUGUGGCCUGGCUAAGAUUAGAUGCGGCCACAUUUUAACCCCAAACCAAACAAGCCCGUCAGAAACAUGUGGUGUUCACCAGUAAUACAAAACCUAGCGAUCGGGUCGUUCCUCAAUACUGUAAAACCAGAUGCAUUUCUUCAGAUGGGAGAUUCUCGGGGGGGCGUCUGCGGCGUGCAGCCACACCUUUGUCGCGGGUGGCUUUUGAGUCCUACCACAUCAGGUCUGUUUGGCUGUGGCCUGUGGGUGCUGGCUGCCAUAGCGUACUUGUUUGCUUGUGGUGCUGGCUUACUGGUUUGGCACUUUGGCUGGCGCUCGGUACCGCUGGAUGUUUUGGUUUAUUUCCUGCAAGGCUGCGAACUCAUACACUUGGUUUUCGUUAAUGAAACUGGGAACCCUUUAAUGGAAAAAAGAGGUGGUUUCCGAGUCGCUUGUCUUUUCCCGAAUUGCUAAUUAUAUCACAAUGAACAGAACAUAUGAUGAAGUCUGAACAAUAUUACAUAUGGGCUCAGCCCACUUGAAAAAAAGAGAGGCUAUGCUUGUGUGUUUGAAGCAAUAAAUCCGGUGAUCCAGUGAGAACAAUGCCUGUCUAAAUUCCAAGCUGAGUUCACCGUGUGAAAUAACAAAUUUUCCUACAUCAGAAAGUACACAAAGUUGUCUUCAAGAUUGAGGCCAUCCUGGAACUCUCUGUACUGUAGAGGAUUCUUUUGAGGAGAUGAUAUCUUGUAAGUCCUGUGGUGAUAAUAGCUUUGUAGAAGGCUCAAAGUCAUUAUCAUGGGAGAGCGCUGUUUCUGGCCCUGUUUGUUGGAUUGUGAAGUGCUCGCUAAGGGCGGCAAUUAGCCCUUCGGUAAAAACUGACCUUGAUGGCAUAUACUCGUUCAUGCGGCAUAAGAAAUCUGUGUGGUUCCGCGCCUGAAAAAUAUAGGAGCCAUUUAAUUUGGAAAUCGUGGGAUCAAAGCUAAUCAGUCAAACUACACAAGCAUUUUAUGCAAGCCAGACCGUUGCAGCCAAUACUGGUGAUAAACCAGUAUGCACUACUCAACUCACUGCUUUCAGCUAGCUACUUUGUUCAAGUAUCCCCAAAGAAACGCUUACAUUGAAAUACCUUGAAUCAUUCACACUUCAGGUUUCAAUACAGGUAAAAUUGUAAACCGCAAUCUCACUCUUACACUUUCUUACUGCCUCUCGAUGGAACUAUCUUCUAAAAUUAGAAUUAACUGAUUAGUGAAAGCUGUUCCUGGGUAAACUAGGACAACGAUCGCACCAAGAUUUGGACGUGUAUCUAUUCUAAGCAGAAAUUUCCAUAUUCAGCAGAAUUCAGCUGUCACUUAGGGUACAAUAAAACCACCUGAUCGAAAAACAUCUAAGUAAUCCACUGCCAGUUGUUCAGUGGUUUACAUAGCCUGUCAUCCUGAGCUGUUCAGGAAAUAGUAGGAAAGAUAGCCACUGGCCAACUACUCAUACCUCAACUUGAUUCGCUAUGUUUGUGGAAAUAUACCAACACUGAUCAACCUUAAAUUUGAUAAAGAUAACAAACCACAAAAACUGAUAUCCAGACAUACUAGCCAGAGUUCAAGUUUAUGAAUUCCACGAUCUGUUUAAAAGGUUAAAACUUUAAUGAACUGGUAAUUGAUUGGAGGAAAAAUAUAACGGAGAGAACUUACAAGCCGAUAUUCAGGAGCACGUUUUGGGUUUUUAAGAUAAUUCAUAUUUUUGACGUCAUAAUCCCAUAAGAAUGAUGUGUGAUGUACCCAACGAUCUUUUGUUAUGGACUGAGCAUUUCCACCAAAUUUUCGAUGACUAAAUGCAUAGUCUGCAAAUAUUAAGACAAGUUUAGUCUUCAAAAAAUAUGCAGAGCAAGAACAUUACUGGCAUCCCCAAGUAUUCAUUCAAAUUCAUAUACCAGAUCCAGGAUCAAUCUUUUAGGAAUAUAAUUUCAAAUUUGGAAUGAGAUAUGCUAAAUAGACAUAGUAUCAAUAGAACUAGUAGAAAAUGACCCAUUCAAUUGCUUUGAGAAUCCUUGCAAAACAAUACGUAAAUACAAAAGGACUAUAACAUAUUGACAGAGGAUGUUUAAACUUUGAAAUAACAACUAUAUGUUUCAACGAAAAUUAGAUUUUUUUACUUGCAUGAUAUGUGAUUCCACGGCUCUCUUGUAAUCAGUGCAAUGUAAAGUUGUAGGUUAUAGAGACAAGUUUAGUGUGCUGCAACUGGUCAAUAUUCGAUACAUGGGAAAUGGGGAACCCUGAGCCAUCUAGAGACCUAAGUACAAUCAACAAAAAUAGUAUAAACAAUAGAUAAAAAUAGUAUAACAGGAGAGAAGAUGAAACAGAAACUAGCGAUCAGUGAUGUACACCACCAAUUAAAUGUUCGAGACAAUGCAUAAUCAAAGGCAUGAUCGAGCACGAUGAAGGUUCUAGUUGACUAAUAUCAAACAAUGAGACUGACAUUAAACUGGAUGAUGGUGAAAUGCUGUGCUGAUUUGACAUACCAUUUUCACGCAGCUGAAAUUCACCAAACCCGUGGAACACUUUACCAUAUAGCUGGCCUGUCCAUGACAUGAUGUCGCGAGGAAACGGCUGCAACCCAGUGACAGCAGUCUUAUUGCAUAUGAAGGUCACGAACACAGUUCCCUGAUCAACAAUGACAGUGCCACCUCCACUGAAUCUCCUUACAACUGGCACGUUAUCCCGAAGAACAGGCUCUACCUCAACAAGUUCAGAGACUUUCCUGUCGACAAGGAAACCACAUUAACAACUGAACUUCACUAGGCACACACAAACGAAGGAAAAAUGCUGAUGAAACCAAGAUGAUAUACCCGGAGACACCCAUGACAAUGGUGGGAGGAGCCGUGCCGUCAUUGACAAUACACCAGUUGUCACUGGUGCGACGCAGCAACCGUUCUUCCAGGUGCAGCUGCUGCAGGAUCGGUGCGCCGCCCAUGCUUAUCAGCCUCAUGAGCGGCCUUUGCACGUUCCUCUCGACGACGGACCCAAAAGCCAUUAUUGACUGUAUGACGUCAAACUCACGGGCGGAGGACCCAGUAGGGCAACCGCCCUACCUUGUUUUUCGACUCAGUUACGAAUUGGGGGAGAUUAAGGAGGUCAAACGGGGAGCUAAAGGGCGGUUCGUGGGGCGAUGGGAGGAGAAACGGUCGGGAGCAAGAGAAUCGAAGGGUAGAUCAACCGGCGGUGGCGGCGCUCGCGCGAGGACGCCGAGGAAGACGAGCGAGGGGGCUGGGGCGCUCGGCAGCGAGAUGGGCUAGAAGGAGGGAGGGGAGCGGCCCAGGAAGGAAAAGAAGAAGAAGGGAGACAUUGGGUGCGGCCCAUAUGGUCAAAGGGAGGCCAAAAAAUAAAGUUUCAGACAAAGUAUGUUGCCGAACACCUCGUGUUCAAGCUUUGACUCCUUCAGAUUCCCCUAAAAAAAAGGCUCCUUCAGAUUGCUACAGUGCAUUGGGGGACACCCAGCCAGGACCAGCUAAGCUCGGAGGCCAACAAUUGACUACCGUUCAAGGUUCAGGUUGUGCUACAGUUCUACUACAGAGUAGUUUUAGUUGGCAAACAGUUUAGGUAAACAAACGAUGUGUCGGUUGAGCUGAAAUUUGGUCAGGUUGUUGGAAACUCAUGUGUAUGCUUUGUCUUGCCAAAUUUCGUGUAGUUUGGACCAAGGUUUGUGAGUAGUUUGACAAAUUAUCGAAUGGAACAAAAUGUGUUGAUUCUGCACUUCCGUUGUCCUACCCUCUUGUGGUUGUUACUGUGGUUAGCGAUUUGUAAUGUUUUAGCGUUUGUUGUAAUCUAUAGAGGUUCUAGAGAAAAUUAUGUAUCAAUUUGCUUAUAUUGGAAGUUGCAUGACCGGUUGAUCUAAAACCAUGUGUUUUUUUUAAAAAAAAUACAUGUUUUUCACUCCUCACCUUGACAUUUUUCUACCUUAAAUCUAUGUGCAUCUUGAUUUCUUAUUUCCAUCGUUAUUUGUUGAUUGAAGCUAUCCUUCAAAUUUACCUUAGGUGGAGCGAAGAAUUGGUUUGUGUUUGGUGUCCUCUUGCAUACUUCAUGCUACACUGCUACCUACUUGUUACGAUUACUCUUUAGAUCUUAUGAAAUGACACCUAGUAGUAAAAAGGCUUCCUGAUAAGGAAUAUGCAUUUUUUAAACUCAAAAGGAAUUUAAUAUUUGGAACAAGUCAAGGAAAGCAGGAAUUUCAGAAUCGGAAGAGUAGAGCAUUCAGCAUUGGGUCUGGAUUAGCUAAUUUUUGUCAUCACCUGCUCCCUCCGUUCUGAAAUACAGGACAUACAUGUUUUUCAAAAUUUAACUCCGACAAACAAUUAGUACACCUAUACAUUUAUAUACUUGUAUUGUGUGAUAUACAAUUGUCAUUAUUGGCCACGUACAAAGGAACUUUUCAUUGAUAUCAAUUUUAUACUAUGAACUAAUCCAUGUAUAUAUAUUUAGACAAAUUGUUGGUCAAGGUUAAAUCUUGAAAAAAAACAUGUGUGCGCUAUACUUUUAACGCGAGAGUAAUUUUUUUGAAGUCACUUUAGCUAGGAAUUAAUAAUCUUUAAUUUCCAUAUCCGAGAAAUCGAGCCACUUGGAUAUAUACAAGCGCAAAAAAAAACAGUUAAUUAAUAAGCACAAUGCUAUUAGGCACAACAAAGAUCAUCAUCGUCACAAGAUACUACAGCACUGAACCAUCAGCUUCCUCUGUAAUGUACAUACCAAUCACAUCCACUCCUCGAUCCACCAUGCAUCCAUACACAUAGCAUGCAUAACACUAGCACGGAGUAGUACUUUACAACACAAAUUAAGUGCAUUGUCGACCAUUUCAACUAGAGAGACAUAUCGUCCCAUCAAUCAAUUUUACAUGCAUGCAUCAAUCUGCCUCCAGCACCAGCAGGCACACGUCGACUUAAUUAGCCGGAGAAGGUCUGGAUGAUGGUGUUGUGCCACGGGUCAGACAGGUGCUGGAACAGGUUGUCGAGCGGCCCUUUUCCGGUGACCGCGUGCUGCACCGAGAAACCCAGGUACGCCAGCAUCGCCAGCCUCCCUACAAAAUCACAAAACGACCAAUUAAAUUCCUUUUCCGUUUGAGAUCUGGCCGUAGGAACUACUCCAGUAACUGGAAGAAGGGCAUGUAUGUACCGUUGGCGAUCUCCUUCUCCUUGGCCUCGAGCGUGGGCGCGAAGUUGAGCGGGUUGAAGACGCUGCCGGGGUAUCCGCACUCGUGGGGCGGCAGGCUGUAGCUCUUGAAGAUGGGGUCCUGGUUGACGCAGCCGGGCUCCUUGAUGUCCUGCCACCGCCGGAUCUCCACGUAGUGGAACAGGAUGAACUCCACGACGAAGAGCGUGGAGGAGGAGGCGAAGUAUGUGGACUUGCCGGCGUCGUACCACUCGGGGGCGUUGAUGAGGCCGAUCUUGGUCAGCAGCUCCGGCGUCAGCAUCCCCGCCACGCCCAGCAUCGCCCACCGCCCGUUCACCAGCUCCGCCUGCACGUACCACCGCAGGUUCUCCGGGUCCUCCGCCAGCCCCAACGGGUCGAACCCGUUGUCACCCGGCAGCCUGCGUCAAAUUAAUUAAUAUGCAUGUGUGUAAGCACCACUGACAGUGUUCGUUAAAUAUUUGGCCGGUUUUAUUGUAUGGAAUGUGCCAACUUACUUGCCGUCGAGGUAUGCAGGGGAGGGGAGGCCGGGGAGCCACUCGCCCUUGGCCUCCACCCGGAGGCUGCGCCGGCUUGUCGAGGAGGCGAGGCCAAGGCGGCUGGAGUGUCCGAGGAAGCCGGAGUUGAGCGACGCCGACGGGCGCAAGGCCGCCACGGGGGCGCGGGCG